RNAcentral lists this ribosomal RNA (503 nucleotides) under uncultured bacterium. RNAcentral describes it as "partial 16S ribosomal RNA". It matches the Rfam family "Bacterial small subunit ribosomal RNA", at positions 30 to 523 of the family's 1533-position model. The record is from RNAcentral.
AUUGAACGCUGGCGGCAGGCUUAACACAUGCAAGUCGAGCGGGGUGAUGGUGCUUGCACUAUCACUUAGCGGCGGACGGGUGAGUAAUGCUUAGGAAUCUGCCUAUUAGUGGGGGACAACAUCUCGAAAGGGAUGCUAAUACCGCAUACGUCCUACGGGAGAAAGCAGGGGAUCACUUGUGACCUUGCGCUAAUAGAUGAGCCUAAGUCGGAUUAGCUAGUUGGUGGGGUAAAGGCCUACCAAGGCGACGAUCUGUAGCGGGUCUGAGAGGAUGAUCCGCCACACUAGGACUGAGACACGGCCAAGACUCCUACGGGAGGCAGCAGUGGGGAAUAUUGAACAAUGGGGUGAACCCUGAUCCAGCCAUGCCGGGUGUGUGAAGAAGGCCUUAUGGUUGUAAAGCACUUUAAGCGAGGAGGAGGCUCUUUUGGUUAAUACCCAGAAUGAGUGGACGUUACUCGCAGAAUAAGCACCGGCUAACUCUGUGCCAGCCGCCGCAGUAA